GCCGUAAUGAAAGGCAGCGCUCAGGAGCGGGGGUAGGAGGGAGCGUGGCCGGGGCUCGUUCUUGCAGCCCUAGCUGGUCUGAAUGGCUCCACACCGUGGAUGACCCCCAUCAGGAGCAAUGAGAAUAGUCCUUAAUAAAUAUUUACAUCCGGAGUUACUCAUGCACAGAGCGUUCCUUUUUCUUUAUUCAGUGUUAGGAGCAGAAGGGUUGAACGCUUGGAUGCUCAGGGGAAGCCCUGAAUGAAGACCGCUCGCGUGCGUUCAUCACAAUGGCCUUAAGUAAAUGCAGCAGUUCCCUACUGAAGCAAGGCAGACGAUGGAGAGCUGCGACGGCAUGCGAUGCUCAUGGUCUCAAGGAAAGGAGGCCUUGUGUGACAGAGGAAACUUCCAACUUAACCACUUUAGAAGCCACCUGGUGCUGUGUCUGGUGUCACUGAAAAUGUGAGUUUGAGCUGGGAUAGGCACCGGGCUUGAGAAGAGGAAGCAGCUGUGCAGUGGAGGCUCACAUCAGCAGAAAGCAUGCGGGUGUUGGGUUGCUGACCAAGGUGGGGGGCAUCUCCAUGGGAGAGAAGCCAAUGUCAGCUGCCUCGUGGUCCUAUGGCCAUCCCAAAGCAUAGCCACAAAUCAGAGAGAAAAAAAUGUAAACUCAGAUUCUACCACUGAAUGCUUUACUGUGAUAGUAUUUGACUUCAAUGGCUUGGUUUAAGCCUUGGCUUCUGAGUUCUUUUUAAGUCACAUGUAUUGCUGGAGCUGGUUUGCAAUAUUUCGAGAGUUUUGCCACUGAAUUCACUGUGGGAAGGAAGGAAUUCCUUUCUUUUUCCACCGUGGAUGAAUUGCUGUGAGAUUGGUCCUCCUUUUCACGGAAGAAGGCUUGCUUCAAAAGACUAAAAAUAUAAAUUGUCUAU
Molecule: long non-coding RNA, 905 nt
Organism: Gallus gallus (chicken)
Lineage: Eukaryota; Metazoa; Chordata; Aves; Galliformes; Phasianidae
Source: Ensembl